This 233-nucleotide unclassified non-coding RNA is filed under the name Clavaria sp. ADM1311. Its description in RNAcentral is "internal transcribe spacer 2". The record is from RNAcentral. Lineage: Eukaryota; Fungi; Basidiomycota; Agaricomycetes; Agaricales; Clavariaceae.
ACACAUCAAACGUAGACUUUUUGUUUCUAUGUUUUGAAAGUUGAAGGUUGCCGGCGUUUUUCAUGGCCAGCUCCUUUUAAAUGGAUUAGCGAGACUUUGAAGACUUGGCUUCAGUUUGAUAACACCCCCCCAUCUAUGCUGUCGCCAAAGAACUGUUUUGGUCUGGCUUAUAGCUGUCCGGUUUGGACUGUCUUCUCAAGGAGGCAAAAAAAAAAACAUUGAUUUUUUUUGAC